UCAAGUGAAUAAGUGCAUCAGGUGGAUGCCUUGGCGAUGAUAGGCGAUGAAGGACGUGUAAGCCUGCGAAAAGCGUGGGGGAGCUGGCAAUAAAGCUAUGAUCCCGCGGUGUCCGAAUGGGGAAACCCACUGCAUUCUGUGCAGUAUCCUAAGUUGAAUACAUAGACUUAGAGAAGCGAACCCGGAGAACUGAACCAUCUAAGUACCCGGAGGAAAAGAAAUCAACCGAGAUUCCGCAAGUAGUGGCGAGCGAACGCGGAGGAGCCUGUACGUAAUAACUGUCGAGAUAGAAGAACAAGCUGGGAAGCUUGACCAUAGUGGGUGAUAGUCCCGUAUUCGAAAUCUCAAUAGUGGUACUAAGCGUACGAAAAGUAGGGCGGGACACGUGAAAUCCUGUCUGAAUAUGGGGGGACCAUCCUCCAAGGCUAAAUACUCAUCAUCGACCGAUAGUGAACCAGUACCGUGAGGGAAAGGCGAAAAGAACCCCGGGAGGGGAGUGAAAUAGAACCUGAAACCUGAUGCAUACAAACAGUGGGAGCACCCAUGUGGUGUGACUGCGUACCUUUUGUAUAAUGGGUCAACGACUUACAUUCAGUAGCGAGCUUAACCGAAUAGGGGAGGCGUAGGGAAACCGAGUCUUAAUAGGGCGAACAGUUGCUGGGUGUAGACCCGAAACCGAGUGAUCUAUCCAUGGCCAGGUUGAAGGUGCCGUAACAGGUACUGGAGGACCGAACCCACGCAUGUUGCAAAAUGCGGGGAUGAGCUGUGGAUAGGGGUGAAAGGCUAAACAAACUCGGAGAUAGCUGGUUCUCCCCGAAAACUAUUUAGGUAGUGCCUCGAGCAAGACACUGAUGGGGGUAAAGCACUGUUAUGGCUAGGGGGUUAUUGCAACUUACCAACCCAUGGCAAACUAAGAAUACCAUCAAGUGGUUCCUCGGGAGACAGACAGCGGGUGCUAACGUCCGUUGUCAAGAGGGAAACAACCCAGACCGCCAGCUAAGGUCCCAAAUGAUAGAUUAAGUGGUAAACGAAGUGGGAAGGCCCAGACAGCCAGGAUGUUGGCUUAGAAGCAGCCAUCAUUUAAAGAAAGCGUAAUAGCUCACUGGUCGAGUCGUCCUGCGCGGAAGAUGUAACGGGGCUCAAAUCUAUAACCGAAGCUGCGGAUGCCAGUUUACUGGCAUGGUAGGGGAGCGUUCUGUAGGCCGAUGAAGGUGCAUUGUAAAGUGUGCUGGAGGUAUCAGAAGUGCGAAUGUUGACAUGAGUAGCGAUAAAGCGGGUGAAAAGCCCGCUCGCCGAAAGCCCAAGGUUUCCUACGCAACGUUCAUCGGCGUAGGGUGAGUCGGCCCCUAAGGCGAGGCAGAAAUGCGUAGUCGAUGGGAAACAGGUUAAUAUUCCUGUACUUGAUUCAAAUGCGAUGUGGGGACGGAGAAGGUUAGGUUAGCAAGCUGUUGGAAUAGCUUGUUUAAGCCGGUAGGUGGAAGACUUAGGCAAAUCCGGGUCUUCUUAACACCGAGAAGUGACGACGAGUGUCUACGGACAUGAAGUAACCGAUACCACGCUUCCAGGAAAAGCCACUAAGCUUCAGUUUGAAUCGAACCGUACCGCAAACCGACACAGGUGGGCAGGAUGAGAAUUCUAAGGCGCUUGAGAGAACUCGGGAGAAGGAACUCGGCAAAUUGAUACCGUAACUUCGGGAGAAGGUAUGCCCUCUAAUGUAAAGGACUUGCUCCGGAAGCAUCUGAGGGUCGCAGAGAAUCGGUGGCUGCGACUGUUUAUUAAAAACACAGCACUCUGCAAACACGAAAGUGGACGUAUAGGGUGUGACGCCUGCCCGGUGCUGGAAGGUUAAUUGAAGAUGUGAGAGCAUCGGAUCGAAGCCCCAGUAAACGGCGGCCGUAACUAUAACGGUCCUAAGGUAGCGAAAUUCCUUGUCGGGUAAGUUCCGACCCGCACGAAUGGCGUAACGAUGGCCACACUGUCUCCUCCCGAGACUCAGCGAAGUUG
This 2004-nucleotide ribosomal RNA is filed under the name human metagenome. RNAcentral describes it as "bacterial LSU rRNA". It matches the Rfam family "Bacterial large subunit ribosomal RNA", at positions 3 to 2044 of the family's 2925-position model. The record is from RNAcentral.